Molecule: ribosomal RNA, 292 nt
Filed under: uncultured bacterium
Lineage: Bacteria
Description: partial 16S ribosomal RNA
Rfam family: Bacterial small subunit ribosomal RNA
Source: RNAcentral
GUGCCAGCAGCCGCGGUAAUACGAACUGUGCGAACGUUAUUCGGAAUCACUGGGCUUACAGGGUGCGUAGGUGGCCGGACAAGUCAGGUGUGAAAUCCCUCAGCUCAACUGAGGAACUGCGCUUGAAACUGUUUGGCUAGAGUGAGCUAGGGGUGCUUGGAACUGCCAGUGGAGCGGUGAAAUGUGUUGAUAUUGGCAGGAACACCGGAGCCGAAAGGGAAGCACUGGGGCUUAACUGACACUGAGGCACGAAAGCCAGGGGAGCAAACGGGAUUAGAUACCCCCGUAGUCC